CGUGGCUCCAGAAACUGCUCCGAAACACUCCUUAGGACUCGCCAGAGAGGCCGGACAUUGCGUCGACGAUCACCUUCCCUUUUGGACGUUUGUGUGCACGCUAUCAUCUGCCGCCGCUUCAGACGGCUUUGAGAAUUUGACCUGUCCGUAGUCCACCCCCUCCUCCUCCACCUUCUGCUCCACUCGCCUCCUCCUCUGCUGCACGACCCUGACAUGGCUGUAGGUCAUCAGCUCGCGGUCAUCGUCCUCCGCUGCAGAGAAGAGGAACAGGCGACACAAACAGAUGACAACUACGAAAAAUACAAGUGCUGAGACGACACCGACUAUAAGUAGCCACUGUUCUGUUUCAAAAUUAAAGAAAGGGGAAAAAUGAAUUUUAACUUAGCAAACUCUGUGUAUGAUUUUAUGAUGAGAAAAAAAACUGAUAAAUUCACUGCUUCAUAUUAAGUUUUCACCUACUGAUGUAUUUGUGUUUUAGCACUGGGGUUUGUGUAACUCAGUCUCCUUACCCACAGUACUGUGUGGAGCUGUUGUAGGUGUUAUUGUAGGUUCAACACACAGAGUGUUGUUGGCUUUAAACACCCACUCAGAUAUGCGUGUCCCAUUGGAAGAGCAGUCAAUGAAAAUAAAAC
Long non-coding RNA from Austrofundulus limnaeus, 632 nucleotides. RefSeq lists it as uncharacterized. The record is from RefSeq and is a predicted model, not a curated record. The transcript has 3 exons. NCBI's taxonomy places the organism in Eukaryota, Metazoa, Chordata, Actinopteri, Cyprinodontiformes, Rivulidae.